GGCAAUGUAGCUCAGUGAUAGAGUGCUUGCCUAAGAUUGCAAAAAGCCCUGGGUUCAAUUCCCAACACAGUUA
Molecule: transfer RNA, 73 nt
Filed under: Heterocephalus glaber (naked mole-rat)
Lineage: Eukaryota; Metazoa; Chordata; Mammalia; Rodentia; Bathyergidae
Rfam family: tRNA
About the family: Transfer RNA (tRNA) molecules are approximately 80 nucleotides in length.
Source: Rfam by way of RNAcentral